GACGAACGCUGGCGGCGUGCUUAACACAUGCAAGUCGUACGGUAAGGCCCUUUCGGGGGUACACGAGUGGCGCACGGGUGAGUAACACGUGAGUAACCUGCCCACAACUUUGGGAUAACGCUAGGAAACUGGUGCUAAUACUGGAUAUGUGCUCCUGCUGCAUGGUGGGGGUUGGAAAGCUCCGGCGGUUGUGGAUGGACUCGCGGCCUAUCAGCUUGUUGGUGGGGUAGUGGCCUACCAAGGCGGCGACGGGUAGCCGGCCUGAGAGGGUGACCGGCCACAUUGGGACCGAGGGACGGCCCAGACGCGGACGGGAGGCAGCAGUGGGGAAGAUUGAACAAUGGGCGCCAGCCUGAUGCAGCAGCGCCGCGUGCGGGAUGACGGUCUUCGGGGUGUAAAACGCUUUCAGCAGGGACGAAGCUUUUUGUGACGGUACCUGCAGAAGAAGCACCGGCUAACUACGUG
This 465-nucleotide ribosomal RNA is filed under the name uncultured bacterium. RNAcentral's name for it is "partial 16S ribosomal RNA". It matches the Rfam family "Bacterial small subunit ribosomal RNA", at positions 28 to 507 of the family's 1533-position model. The record is from RNAcentral.